GCAGAGUUUCCUUGUCUGAAGGACACACAGGGGAAAGGUUAUGUGAGAGGCAUGGUACAUCCGUGGUCGGAGGAACCGGCCAGCCACAGGCUUCUUGGAGGAACGACUGAGGAACAUCAGAAAGAAAAUGCGUCAGGAACGCUUUUCAGUCCAGACUGCUUCAACAACAAACAACGAACAACAUAUAAGCAGCACCUUGGUUAUACCAGACCAAACCAUUUCAUCUGAGAGGGCAC
Long non-coding RNA from Melanotaenia boesemani (Boeseman's rainbowfish), 236 nucleotides. RefSeq lists it as uncharacterized. Lineage: Eukaryota; Metazoa; Chordata; Actinopteri; Atheriniformes; Melanotaeniidae. The transcript is spliced from 3 exons. The record is from RefSeq and is a predicted model, not a curated record.